GCGGCGCGGCAGCAGCAGGAGGCCCCAUUAGCUAAAGUGGUGCUUCAGGUUAAGAACAGUUUCAGAUUAAGAACGGACCUCCGGAACGAAUUAAGUACUUAACCCGAGGCACCACUGUAAAGUAAGGUAUUGUUCGUAGAAAUGGAACACUUAAUGUAUUGAAUAAUGGUUUGGCCCCAUUUCCAACUUGGAAAACAAGUAGGUAUAACAUGUAUGGAGGGUUGGCAUUUACAUGCCAUGUAAAUCACAAAGAGGUAUUUCUCGAAACCAGUUAUCCCCACCCCCCCUUGAAUAAAGGAGUACUUAAAGAAUUGCUUAAAAGUAGCAUUUCACAUGUGUGAUACAUGAAAUAAACCUCAAAACUUGUUUCACUUUAAGGAUACAGUGAUAUAAAGCUUGUUCCCUCCUUGCCUUUCCCUUCCCUUGCAUGCAGCAAAAACAAAAAAACAUUUAUGGUUUAUUGGCAAUUAUAGCUGGUCAUUUUGGCAUAAUUAGUCAGGUUACAAUUUGGAAGUUUCUAAGUGCCAUGAGGGAGAGGCAAGGGAAGGAGGUAGUGCGUAAGCCCAAAGCUCAUGCAAUGGCUUACCAUUGUGUUUCAGUCGUCCCAAUCUAUGUUCUAGCAUUUUCCAUAUAACUUGAGUUUUCAUCUGGAGGUCGGGCUCAAUUCUGAUAUAUGUCCUGGAGACUUAAGUAUUUGUUGCGUUCUGACAGGAUGUAGUUGUCAUGUCAUGCUAAAUUUUAUAAAGGGAAGACGAAUAAGUGGUAGUAGAUACUGAAUUGUUUACUUUUAUUUCUCACUGAAGCUCCUCCUGAGAAGUUUGUCUUCUGAUGGGCAGGAAUGUGAUUGGGAGGAAAAGGUUUGGGGAUACAUUUCUUUUAAAGGAUCCCCUUUCCCUUUCCUAUGCUUUUCAACAGCAUCACUGAAUAACCUCAUCCCUGUUUUAUAGGAAUGUGGCAGCAACCCAUAUUCUGCUUCUGUCAUGUUUAGCUUGCCCCGCAGUUAUGGCUGGAGAAUCUUUGAAAACUGAUCUCUUGCUCUCACCUUAAUUUAUCGGUUGUAUGGAUUUGACGCCUUGCUGAAUAUGUAUGGUGUGCAUUAUAUAAUACUUAAUAUUUUAUUUUCAAUCACAAACCUGGCUCUGCUGUUUCCAGGGCUUUUGCUUUGGCAUAACUGCGCCAUAACAGUAAGUGAAAAGUAACUGUCUUGAUGUAUGAAGUGAGAAUUGUAGACAAGUUGUACAGAGACUGUAUAAACAGCUGUUUCCUCCCCGCAGAACUUCAAUAAAACAUUACAAACUUG
Molecule: long non-coding RNA, 1300 nt
Organism: Podarcis raffonei (Aeolian wall lizard)
Lineage: Eukaryota; Metazoa; Chordata; Lepidosauria; Squamata; Lacertidae
Exons: 2
Source: RefSeq, a predicted model, not a curated record